RNAcentral lists this small nucleolar RNA (235 nucleotides) under Cercocebus atys (sooty mangabey). RNAcentral's name for it is "Small nucleolar RNA U3 (ENSCATG00000003035.1)". It matches the Rfam family "Small nucleolar RNA U3". Rfam says of the family: Small nucleolar RNAs (snoRNAs) are involved in the processing and modification of rRNA in the nucleolus. The record is from Rfam by way of RNAcentral. Lineage: Eukaryota; Metazoa; Chordata; Mammalia; Primates; Cercopithecidae.
AAGACUAUUACUUUCAGGGAAUCUUUCUAUAGUUUGUUAUAGGAGAGUUUCUACUGAACCGUGUAGAGACCGAAAACCACGAGGAGGGACCCCCCCGCCCCCCACCCGCCUAGUGUUCUCUUCUGAGCGUGAAAGCAGGCGUUUGGCGUUGCUUCCGGUGCAACUGCCAGCAGCAUGAUGAUCGUUCUUCUCUCCGCUUUGGGGAGUAAGAGGGAGAGAACGCUGUCUGAGUGGU